AACCUAGCACACCUGCGGUGUGUACCUGCGGAAGGAUCAUUACCUAGAGUUGUAGGCUUUGCCUGCUAUCUCUUACCCAUGUCUUUUGAGUACCUUACGUUUCCUCGGUGGGCUCGCCCACCGAUUGGACAAAUUUAAACCCUUUGCAGUUGAAGUCAGCGUCUGAAAAAACUUAAUAGUUACAACUUUCAACAACGGAUCU
RNAcentral lists this unclassified non-coding RNA (202 nucleotides) under soil metagenome. Its description in RNAcentral is "partial contains 5.8S ribosomal RNA, internal transcribed spacer 2, and large subunit ribosomal RNA". The record is from RNAcentral.